Molecule: ribosomal RNA, 484 nt
Filed under: uncultured bacterium
Lineage: Bacteria
Description: partial 16S ribosomal RNA
Rfam family: Bacterial small subunit ribosomal RNA
Source: RNAcentral
AUUGAACGCUGGCGGCAGGCCUAACACAUGCAAGUCGAGCGGUAGAGAGAAGCUUGCUUCUCUUGAGAGCGGCGGACGGGUGAGUAAUGCCUAGGAAUCUGCCUGGUAGUGGGGGAUAACGUUCGGAAACGGACGCUAAUACCGCAUACGUCCUACGGGAGAAAGCAGGGGACCUUCGGGCCUUGCGCUAUCAGAUGAGCCUAGGUCGGAUUAGCUAGUUGGUGGGGUAAUGGCUCACCAAGGCGACGAUCCGUAACUGGUCUGAGAGGAUGAUCAGUCACACUGGAACUGAGACACGGUCCAGACUCCUACGGGAGGCAGCAGUGGGGAAUAUUGGACAAUGGGCGAAAGCCUGAUCCAGCCAUGCCGCGUGUGUGAAGAAGGCCUUCGGAUUGUAAAGCACUUUAAGUUGGGAGGAAGGGCAGUAAAUUAAUACUUUGCUGUUUUGACGUUACCGACAGAAUAAGCACCGGCUAACUCUGUG